Molecule: long non-coding RNA, 843 nt
Organism: Sinocyclocheilus grahami
Lineage: Eukaryota; Metazoa; Chordata; Actinopteri; Cypriniformes; Cyprinidae
Exons: 4
Source: RefSeq, a predicted model, not a curated record
GCCAAAUCAUUUUUGAAAGUUCAGUGAAGCUGGAUAAGGGAGUUGAGCGAACUUUAAAAAACAAGUAGCCACAACUACAUGGGCAUGAAGUUCAGUCAACUCAAAGCUUUGCAGCUGGUUGCCUUGUUUUUAAGUUGAUUCAACUUUUUCAUCUUUUAAUUUAGCUAUGAAUAAUCUUGCAUCCAUAUUUCUCAGCCAUGCUGUAAAACAAUACAAAAGACUAUGCCAUCACUACAGAAAAUAUUUAUUCACAAUGUCACAUUGAGGCCCCUUAAGAGGCAAAAUAACACUUUCCUCUCUUCUUGGAAUGCUUUUAAAGUGAUUUUACAGUCUUAAAGUGCUAUAUCUAUGAACAAGACUUCAGGAUUCUAAAAAUUGCAACAAAUGUGUUUGAGCAAUCCAGUUUUACAACUGUAAAAACAACAUUUAAGGUUCAUUACAUUAAAAUUGAAAAUAUUUCCUCUUUUGACACUUACGGAAACAUCAGAUGGAACAACAGGAACAGCUUAGUGCUUUCCCUUAUCCAUAUCCAGCUAUUUAGACACUGACAGUUUGUUUUUGAAGGACUGGACUCUUGCUGAGCACUGGGGGUCAAGACCAAUAAACCGUUCUUUAGGAUAGUUCAUGUUCAGGGCAUAAAUCAAGCCAAAGAGAAGAGCCAUAGCAGUGGGAAGGUCUUGCACGAUAUGCUCCUCUAGAACCACAGACCGGCACCUUACAUUUGAGUUUGAGUGGAUGGUCGCAACGUCAUCUUCAACGAUGGUUACGAUCCCCAUCUUUAUUCCCUUCUGUAUGAUUUUCUUCUGGCUCGGUGUCCUGCAAGUCUUAAGGAAAUUUUCAGAC